RNAcentral lists this unclassified non-coding RNA (556 nucleotides) under Metschnikowia borealis. RNAcentral's name for it is "partial external transcribed spacer". Lineage: Eukaryota; Fungi; Ascomycota; Pichiomycetes; Serinales; Metschnikowiaceae. The record is from RNAcentral.
AUUUUAGACAACUUUUGUUAGUGCGCACAGAAAAGCAUGGGCCAGGCGACGGUGUUUUGCGCGCAUGCAAAUUUUGGGACCCGGAGGUUAUAUAUGGGAGUGGGAUGAGUCGAUGGCAAAGAGCGACAAAAGAGAUUUUGCAAGAGUAGCCUAAGCCACUUUUGCAAGAGCUUGGAUGUUACUCUGGGUCAGAAGGCUGUAUUUAUAUAGGUAAGUUUGGCGAGAGGGACUGUUGCUGGUCCCCAGGCGCCUCUUGUGGGUAAAGUCAUUGGCAAGAGAAAUAUGGGCUUGGGUUCUCCAAGUGCUGAAAGCUCUUGCUAAAACUUUGUCAACUUUCCCUCACUCCCCACCGCGUACUCUAGGGUGCGCACCGCAGUAACGCUUUACGGUGGUGCUGUGUGGCCUCGCGAUUUAUCGCCCAAGUCUCGGGAUGACAACGUCUCCCCGAGCAAGGAAAGAAACAGUGGAUUACUAGGCUAUGCCAAAAUAAUCCCAACCAAAACUCAAGAUCACUCCGAUCUCUCUUACUACGAGUCAGUGGACAACCCCAAAAAAA